UUUGACUUCCACUGAAACUCUGUGAGUUAAGUUGGACACGUAUCAUGACUGAGACUGAAAGAUAAGUUUGUCAAGGCUACAUAGCUAAUGAAGUAGGCAAAAGCUGGUUUUGAUGGACAGCAACGUGGCCAUCCAUGAAACUAAACGCCCUAAUUCAGUUGCUGCUGAAUAUGACCAUGGACAACCAUUCUAUCCAAUGAGACAUAAAAAUAGAGGAAUUUAUUUGUUUUAAAACAUAUUUCUUUAUUGUCUUUUCCAUAUACUAUCUGAUAUAAACAAAAAAGAAUAGUUAUGUAAUAUAUGUAAGUCUUAAAGCAUAAUAGUUAUAUAAUGAAUACCUAUGAACCCACUACCUAACCCAAGGACUAGAACGUUACCAACAAUAACCAUAUACUUGUAACUUCUUUACCAUCCUACUGCUUCUUUCAAAGGAAACAUUAUACUAAAUUUUGUUAUUCAUGUCCAUGCCUUUUCUUUACAAUAGUUUGAUCUCACAUGUAUAUUAUACACACACACACACACACACACACACACCUUAACAAUGUAUUAUUUAGUUUUGCUAGCUACGAGUUAAAAAUGAUAUUACGUGCAAUGUGUCCUUCUGGGAGUUGCUUUUUUUUUUUUGUAUUUGAGACGGAGUUUUGCUCUUGUUGCCCAGGCUGGAGUGCAAUGGCGUGAUCUCUGCUCACGGCAACCUCCGCCUCCUGGGUUCAAGUGAUUCUCAUUCCUCAGCCUCCCAAGUAGCUGGAAUUACAGGCAUGUGCCACCACGCCCAGCUAAUUUUGUAUUUUUAGUAGAAACAGGGUUUCUCCAUGUUUCUCCCGACCUCAGGUGAUCCGCGCGCCUUGGCCUCCCAAAGUGCUGGGAUUACAGACGUGAGCCACUACGCCUGGCCAUAAUCUCUUUCUAAAAAGUAUCAAAGGUAUUGUUUACAGUAUUUGAGAGAUAUUUUUGAAGCCAAGGUUAAGUUUUACUUGAUUUCAUUUAAAAAUAAAAAAGAGACUUCCUGAUUCCCCUCACACACUGACCUCCUCAUAAGCAUGUAUGGGCACACAUGCACACUGACCCACACACUUAUCUCAAGAUUCCAGGUGGCAGAGGAACUGCUGGAUCAAAACACAUGUUCCACGGACCACAGGUUUACCAGGAAGGAACUGAAGCUGCUUGUAAGGUUAUUACACAACUUUUUCCUUGGAAUCACAAGCCAUACUGUGGUAUGAAGAGGAAAGUACCAAGGGCUCCAUGGUUAAGGUAUGUCCUCUUUCUGAUGGAUGGUUUUUGCAAAGGCUAUCAUUAUUGGGAAAUAACAAAUAAAAUAACUAAACCCAUACAUAACACAGAUUUCAGAUGUGGUCCUAAGAUUACACUUGGCAGGAAAAUAUUUCAGGCAGAGAUAUGCCUGAAGAGGAGAUGCUGAAAGUAACAAAGAUGAUCCAUGUCUGGAGGAUAGGGAAACCACAUAUCUCAGUUUGCCUGGAACAGUCCUAGCUUUAAAGUUUAAAGUCCUACAUCCUUAGAAGGCUCUCAAUCCUGAACAAAUUGGGAGAGCUGGUCAUCCUAACGCAGGAUGAUAGGAUGUGCAAAGUAAAACGAAGUUUAGCAAGGUGGGCAGAAGGCAUAUGUCAUGCAGAACUUCGCAAAUUAGGGUAAGAAGAUGGAUUCUAUUCUAAGUAUAAUCAGAAGUCAUAUGAUUAUCUUGAGAAAGGGGCGACAUGAUUUUUACUGUCAGCAUAGAGAUCACACAAUCAAUAAAUAUUUCUAUGACAGCACUUCAAGCAUCUAUAGCAUCUUACAUUUCACAGCCUCCUCCAUUUUAUUUUUUCAUAAAUACUCUUUUUCAACCUUUUAUUAAUCAUUUUAGAUGUUUUCUCUGAUCUUGCUCCAAGUUUUUCUCUUUGUUCAAGUUGUGGGGCCCCAAACUGGACCAGUUUAUAGAAUAAUCACACUGAUCUUUUCUUCAAGUAAAAACAGAAGGUCACUUGCCCAGCAGGUCUGAGCACUUAGAUCGCAGAGUAGUCUUCAAGAGAAGUCUAACUGGGCAUCAAUCUCAUGAGUCGGACUGUGUAAAACCCCUGAUCUCCCAGGCAAGGAACACAUGUGCAUAAACUACUCCAGGGCCCUUACUGCACCCACCUGGAAUGACCUAAUAUUCACAUUUUUAAUCUCUAAGUUUUUGCCCAUUAAGUUCUCAAAGAAAACACAUUUGAUUCGUGUCAAAUCUAUCUUGCCACUUCAUCUACAAAGUGUUCUUUCCAAGGGGCUGGGGACUGAUAUUCUGUUCUAUGAUUGCUAAGAAACCUAUCAGGUUUCAUUUCUCUAUAGAAUAAUAUAUUAUUUGCAUAAUACACAAAAAGUAAUGGAGAAAAUGGAAAACACAAUAUUUAAAAAUUGCAUAAACCAUAGAAAUGAGAUCCUGCUUUGUUUUUUAAAAUGUCGUUUUGCAAAGUAAUAUUUUCACUUACAUCCUGGCAACUAUUGACUUAUACAAUUUAUUUGUAUGUUCCAAUAUUAGAUUUGCAUCAAACCCAAAAUCUUGCUUUGCUUCAUUGGAGAUAUUUGGAUAAAUUCUUAAGUAUAGUUAUAUGUGAGGAAAAUGCAAAAAUAAUAUACACAUGUAGUCACGCACAAAAAGCUGAGAAUUAAAACAGCACGAAAACUCACAAGCAAGGCGUAGGUAAUGAUAGGUUACCAGUCAAAGUAAGCAACUAUUGUGUUACAAGUUACAAGUGUUUUAUGUGCAGAUCAAAUCUAAAUUGCACAGUUUUAAGCCGGAAACAGAUGAAUACCUUCACAUCAUAGAAGUGUUUUAAAUCAGAUUUGUAAAGUAUGUAAUCAUGAACUCCUGGAUGAUUUGAGUCAGAUAUUUAUUCCUAUUUCCAUCUAAAGCACCAAGCACAGUACUUGAAAAGUCACAUGGAUUUAUCAAAUUUCAAUAAAUUUAAAUUAGAACAUGUCUUUAUCCUUUAAAAAUCUGUACCAAUAUGAUAGGUAAAAAUACUUAUUCUCUUGUGUUUAGCUUAAUUUUUGAAAUAAUACUGAGAAAUACCUCCCUUGAGAGCCUGGUAUGCUAAAAUCUUGCUACUAAAAGCCAGACUUAGCUUAGGUCACUGAUAACUAGAAACUCAUGCAGAUAAUACAAAUUGUACUUUUUGCUUAUUUUGAUCUAUUUUUUAAAGUAUGUAUCUAAUGAGCUUCAAAGCUUAAGUUUUGUUUCUUUUUGCCCUAAUGGAAUGAUGAGUGGCAGAGCAGAGAAGUUAAAAAGGAUGUUUGAAAGCUAUAAAACAACAAUUUGGAUGAGAUAGAUGUUGUAUAGCCUUGCAAUAUUAACUUUGAAUUGGUCUGAUUAGAACAAACCUAGGAACAAACAUAUUCCUUUUCUCACCUCUUAAAUUUGCAGCUAAAUCUACAAUAUUAUGACCACUGACUAAAGUUGUCUAUGGAGAACCUGGUUAGCAAACAUUAAAAAAAUUACACUAUUUUUUCUCAUCAUUAUUCAGCAGUAAACACAGAAGGCAGUCUUUUAAUUAUAUUUAGCUAGACUGACAAUCUUGAGAUUAAAGACCCCCUAAGGAGUUCUCAUCAUUUUCCACCUGAAAGUAGAAUUAAAAGUAAAUACUUACAAAGAUCUCUACUUAUAAGACAAGAAGUGAGUUGGAAGUUACUGAUCUACUACACUUAGGUUAAUCAACAAAUGUGUAGAAAGACAGACAUAUAUGUAAUUUUUCUAAAGCUUGAAAGUCUUGCUACACAAGUAGUAGAAUCUACUAUCAAUACCAGACAUUGUUUAUGCUAUUUUCUAGCCAUAUUACCUUAGGUUCUAUAUAUCAUAAACAAAAUAUAGUCAUCUCUUGGUAUAUAAGGGUGAUUGGUUCCAGGACCACCCACAGGUAACUAAAUCUGCACAUGCUCAAGUCCUACAGUUGAUCCUGUGGAAGCCUUGUAUACAGAAAGUCAACCCUCCCUACAUGCAGGCUUUGGACUCUCAGAUACUGUAUUCUUGAUCGGUAUUGGUUGAAAGAAAUCCACCUAUAAGUGGACACUUGCUGUUCAAACCUGUGUUGUUCAAAUGUUGACUGCAGAUUCCAAUUCUCCCUUUGCAUCUGUAGUUGCUUAAUAAGUAUUAAGUGAAUAAAUGAACUGAUGAUUGGGUGACUAGAACAAAAAUAUUGUGCUUCCUUCUCCCCUGCAAUUAAAUGAGCUCAACACAGACAGUCACAGAAGUGUACUCCCCUGGCUUUUCUCCAUAUUAAAUCUUUUACUUUUACGGAAGUUCAAAGUUUCAUAAAAGUCCUAAUCAUUAGCAUUUCCCUCUUAUUGGUGCAUGAGGUGAUGGUCACCAGAUGUGAA
This 4347-nucleotide long non-coding RNA is filed under the name Homo sapiens (human). RNAcentral's name for it is "HSALNT0317040". The record is from RNAcentral. Lineage: Eukaryota; Metazoa; Chordata; Mammalia; Primates; Hominidae.